RNAcentral lists this ribosomal RNA (439 nucleotides) under uncultured bacterium. RNAcentral's name for it is "partial 16S ribosomal RNA". It matches the Rfam family "Bacterial small subunit ribosomal RNA", at positions 339 to 795 of the family's 1533-position model. The record is from RNAcentral.
CUACGGGUUGCUCCAGUGAGGAAUACUGCACAAUGGAGGAAACUCUGAUGCAGCAACGCCGCGUGGAGGAUGACGCAUUUCGGUGUGUAAACUCCUUUUAUAUGUCAAGAAAAUGACGGUAGCAUAUGAAUAAGCACCGGCUAACUCCGUGCCAGCAGCCGCGGUAAUACGGAGGGUGCAAGCGUUACUCGGAAUCACUGGGCGUAAAGGACGCGUAGGCGGGAUAUCAAGUCAGGUGUGAAAUCCUACAGCUUAACUGUAGAACUGCACUUGAAACUGGUAACCUAGAGUAUGGGAGGGGGAGAUGGAAUUAGUGGUGUAGGGGUAAAAUCCGUAGAUAUCACUAGGAAUACCUAAAGCGAAGGCGAUCUCCUGGAACAUUACUGACGCUAAGGCGUGAAAGCGUGGGGAGCAAACAGGAUUAGAUACCCCGGUAGUC